UUCGGUUUAGCCUUCCUCAGCUCUUCGAAAACUAUUUUGUUGUUACUGCUGAUCUCCAGACUGUGUUUUCUUGUUUCUGUCUUUCUCCAGAAGGCCGUAGCGUAGCCGUAGCGAGGUGGCAGACGUACAGGCUGCGCUGCCAUACAUCCACAGCGCUUUUAAAAGACAGAGAGAGGUUGCCUUUCUCCCGAGUGCCUUUAUGGCGAAUUAAUGAUUUAUUGCUUCGGCUUCUUGCUCUUCUCAUCUUACUUGGAGGGGGGGGCAGUUUAACAAGCAUUCUCAUUUUCACUCCCAGCCUUCACAACGUCCUCACUCACAGAGAAAUGUGCCACGGUGCCGCUGUGUGCUGCACAGCUGUGACCCAGUUCAGACACUUUUUCACCACAACAACCUCAGCGGGGAACAAGAAAACCCAAACCCGGCGGCACGGCUCACGGUGCACGCUGCUCCAAAAACUCAAACCGGCUCCUCUGCAUAUCAGGCAGCCACGUUCACCACGACGGGCAAUCUGAUGCACCCACUGCGUAGGAGUGGACUUCAUUACCGCACACUUUGUAAUGUCUGAGCUUAAAGCUACUUUCCAAUUACUGUCUGCAAACUUAAGGAGAAAAUAAUUUUCUAACCUGUUAUCCAGCAGCAGGUUGCAUCUUCAAAAGUAGUUUUAAGGUCCAACAGGUGUCUGAGGGUGGGUUGAAAAAAAAAAGAUAAAAGCAAAUAAAUAAGGCAAAUAAAUAAAUAAAUAAAACAGGAGCCAAUCCCCCCGCCUGGCAUGCAUGGACUGCAUUCAUAAAGCAUCUUUUCUACUUUAACUUAGCAAACACUGUGUUUUUAACUCAUGAUGGCACUUUGAAUAAGUUUGUGAUUACUGUGCAGCAGCUCAAUAGCUGCUAUCUGGUUGCUAAACUUUACCAGUGGUAAUUUACAUACCUUAAGUACCCUGUUGAUAGUGUUUUGAGGUAUUUAAUUGUAAAUAUUUGAUAAACAAAAUAGAUUGCUUUGUGGUUAAUAUCUCUUUAAAGCUUGUUUAAGAUAUCUGUGCUACAGUUUUGCUCCUAAUCACCAAUUAGCAUCCAUGAAUGUGCUUCGCUAACCAAGCUCGCUAUUAGCUGAUAGUUUAGCACCAAGGUUAUUAUAGUUAACUAAAACUAAACUAAAAACUUAAAGUAGAUGUGAAAAAAUGUGGUUAACUAAAAUAAACAUAUAGAUGAAGGAUUAUUAGUAUUUGUUAGUUUGGUAAAAAAAAUAAAUGAAAAGAAAAAAAAAGAUGAUGAGAGUUUGAUGGAUGUGUUUAUUGAGACUCUGGAUAUCUGCAGGAUGUCUUCAAAAAGUUAAUUUUCUUUUUUUACAUUUUAAAUACCUGUCCUAAUUUUCCUAAAUCGUGCCUCUGGCCUAAAGCCCUCCACAAAACAAUAAUAAAAUAUAAAAAGAGUAAAGCUAAUACUGAAACUCUAAACUAAACUGAAGUAAGAAAAACGACAGUCAAAAUGAAAUAAAAAUCAAAACAUAUUAGUAAAUACAAAACCCCAGUGGGUGAUUUCUAAGUGGAUAUGUCCCUCUUUUAUACACGAUCUUGCUUAAGGACACUUGGACGUGUAGAAAGCUGUAGUUGGAGAUUGAACCAACAACCUUGUGAUUAGAAAAAUUGGUUUGGUCAGCUUCACCUUCUACUUUAAACCGAGGGAAAAAUAAAUGGAAAAAGACUUUAAGGACAGUUUCAUGAGAGAAACUGUUAAAUAUAUGAGCUGAAAGCUGGUAGGACAGAGACAGAAACAUGAUUUUUAGUUGAUGUGGAGGAACACUGUAGAUUUAACGGCUCUCUUCAUCCAUGGAAAGCUGUUAUAUCUGUCCGCUCAGACACUCACUUAGAGAGCCAAAAAAGUACUUUGUGGGAUGUGUUCUCUUGCUAGCUUUCCUAUAUUUAUAUGACAUUUACUUGUGACUUUAUUUUUAUAUGUUUACUACUUAGGAGAAAACUUUUUAGAGCACACUCAGA
Long non-coding RNA from Astatotilapia calliptera (eastern happy), 1993 nucleotides. The record is from Ensembl. Lineage: Eukaryota; Metazoa; Chordata; Actinopteri; Cichliformes; Cichlidae.